UGGGUAACCUACCUAUAAGACUGGGAUAACUCCGGGAAACCGGGGCUAAUACCGGAUAAUAUUUUGAACCGCAUGGUUCAAUAGUGAAAGACGGUUUCGGCUGUCACUUAUAGAUGGACCCGCGCCGUAUUAGCUAGUUGGUAAGGUAACGGCUUACCAAGGCGACGAUACGUAGCCGACCUGAGAGGGUGAUCGGCCACACUGGAACUGAGACACGGUCCAGACUCCUACGGGAGGCAGCAGUAGGGAAUCUUCCGCAAUGGGCGAAAGCCUGACGGAGCAACGCCGCGUGAGUGAUGAAGGUCUUCGGAUCGUAAAACUCUGUUGUUAGGGAAGAACAAAUUUGUUAGUAACUGAACAAGUCUUGACGGUACCUAACCAGAAAGCCACGGCUAACUACGUGCCAGCAGCCGCGGUAAUACGUAGGUGGCAAGCGUUAUCCGGAAUUAUUGGGCGUAAAGCGCGCGUAGGCGGUUUCUUAAGUCUGAUGUGAAAGCCCACGGCUCAACCGUGGAGGGUCAUUGGAAAC
This 529-nucleotide ribosomal RNA is filed under the name Staphylococcus sp. CHB1-2. RNAcentral's name for it is "bacterial SSU rRNA". It matches the Rfam family "Bacterial small subunit ribosomal RNA", at positions 118 to 633 of the family's 1533-position model. The record is from RNAcentral. Lineage: Bacteria; Bacillati; Bacillota; Bacilli; Caryophanales; Staphylococcaceae.